Molecule: small nuclear RNA, 23 nt
Filed under: Arabidopsis thaliana (thale cress)
Lineage: Eukaryota; Viridiplantae; Streptophyta; Magnoliopsida; Brassicales; Brassicaceae
Description: snRNA_02185
Source: RNAcentral
ACAGCCCAAUAAUCGGGCCUGAG